Molecule: long non-coding RNA, 256 nt
Organism: Stomoxys calcitrans (stable fly)
Lineage: Eukaryota; Metazoa; Arthropoda; Insecta; Diptera; Muscidae
Exons: 2
Source: RefSeq, a predicted model, not a curated record
UGUGUGGGUUAAAACAAUUGAAAUAGACCGCCAUACUGAUGAGUUUCAAAGGCGGUAAAUCCCUUUCCAAUCAUUCGAUUCUCUAACUCCUCACCGGCGGAAUUAACGAUAUUUGUCGAAAAUAGUAGUCGCUAAACCUUACCCACCAAGGCGUGUUUAAUAACACAAUUACAGCUGAUGGAACUUGAUAUGUCAAUUAAUUUUUGAUUUCGCCUUAUAAAAAUACGAGUUUCAAAAUAAAUAUUUUAUAAAUUAA